GCCUGGCUGUUCUUGGUGGUGGUGGUGGUGGUCAUUCAGCUGCCCUCCCUAAGGAGCUGCAAGAAUGAACUGCAGGAGGUAUUUGCUGGGGAAAAGACAGUGGAGGAAGGAAGCUCAGCACCAUGCUGGAGGGACUGCAGGCUCAUGACUGCCUGGAAGAUUGGCAUCACAAGGUCCAUGUCUCUCCUGUGCUACGGGCUCCAGACCUGGAUGAGGAGUCCACCAUGAGUUACCUUCAGAAGAUGCAGCAGUUAUUCCACCAGCUAAAAGAAACCUCUGUCCUUCACUGAAGAGUUCCAAGAGCUCUCAUCAUAUUUGCUCUCAAUUUGUUCCAAGAUGAGAUCCUUAAAGCUUUCAGUGAAAAAUUGUGCUGGGAAUUGUCUUCAGUCCCAGGGGUCUGAUCUGCAGCCUACUGAAAUCAAUGAGCCGAUUCACAAUGCUUUCAGGGAGCACUGGGAAUGCUUUAGAAGGAUUUUGGGACACAUUCAAGCUGAAGAUAUUUCUUUACAAGGUUGCUAAUCCAUAAGAAAGCUGGGAAGGGACUUUCCACAAAGGCUCAUAGUGACAGGACAAGAAGGGAUGGAUUUCUGUCUACAGCUACCUGAAGGGACAUUGUGGAGAGGCUGCUGCUGAACUCACAGUGACAGAUUUCUGGGCUGAGGAACUUCCCUUCUGAAGAGAUGCAAUUCCUCCUGUCCCUACUGCAUGAGCAGAGCUGCAGGCACUGUAUUUAUUCAGCUUAGAGAUGAUUUGUCAGAUGUCCUUAAAUAAUACAUUCUAAUAGACUUAAACUGGGGGAGCAGUUUGUAAGUUAUGUGUAGGAGCUUCAUCACCAAAUCCUAUUUGUUUUGUGGAUUUCUCUUCUAAUUCCCAUGAAUCCUUUUGUAAAUGUCCUCUUCCUCACAGAAUAAUGCCAAAUACAUUUUCUGAUUGCUGAGUAUUGUUUCUCCUGGAAUAUGAUGGGUUCCUCUGAGGUAGGAUUUGUCAUGCUUUUACAUCUGCUCCU
Long non-coding RNA from Pogoniulus pusillus (Red-fronted tinkerbird), 1006 nucleotides. RefSeq lists it as uncharacterized. The transcript has 7 exons. Lineage: Eukaryota; Metazoa; Chordata; Aves; Piciformes; Lybiidae. The record is from RefSeq and is a predicted model, not a curated record.